GGCCGCCGGUUUACCUUUGUGAGGCACUGGCGCCUGUGGAAACACUACAGCGAUUAUUUCCCUCUCAAGCUUCUGAAGACUCAUGACAUCUGCCCCAGCCGCAAUUACAUCCUCGUCUGCCACCCUCAUGGGAUCUUGGCCAAUGGAUGGUUUGGCCACUUUUCCACAGAGGCCUCAGGCUUCUCCAAGAUAUUUCCUGGCAUCACCCCUUACAUACUCACACUGGGAGCCUUUUUCUGGGUACCUUUCCUCAGAGAAUAUGUAAUGUCUACAGGGGCCUGCUCUGUGAGUCAAUCCUCCAUUGACUUUCUGCUGACUCAUAAAGGCACAGGCAACAUGGUCAUUGUGGUGGCUGGUGGACUGGCUGAGUGCAGAUACAGCCUGCCAGGCUCUUCUACCCUGGUGUUGAAGAACCGGUCUGGCUUUGUGCGCAUGGCCCUUCAGCAUGGGUAAGGACAGCUCCAGUCCAGGCUGGCGGAAGGGAUCCAAAAGUGUUGCAGGGAAAGAAGAGGGGGUUUUGACGAAAGGACAUCCACAGAGAGAGGAGGAAGUAUACAAUACAUUCUUAUGAACUAUGGUCAUCAGAAAGAUAAUUUUUAUUUG
RNAcentral lists this small RNA (603 nucleotides) under Pongo abelii (Sumatran orangutan). Its description in RNAcentral is "retained intron". The record is from RNAcentral. Lineage: Eukaryota; Metazoa; Chordata; Mammalia; Primates; Hominidae.